This 468-nucleotide ribosomal RNA is filed under the name uncultured bacterium. Its description in RNAcentral is "partial 16S ribosomal RNA". It matches the Rfam family "Bacterial small subunit ribosomal RNA", at positions 28 to 507 of the family's 1533-position model. The record is from RNAcentral.
GACGAACGCUGGCGGCGGGCUUAACACAUGCAAGUCGAACGGAAAAACCCUGCUUGUUUGUGGUUCUAGAGUGGCGAACGGGAGAGUAGCACGUGAAUAACCUUGGCUGUGGGUGAGAAUGACUGGAAGAGACUGGUACUAAUGCCUAAGAGGAGCGGGAGCUAGAGGGGGGGGGUUGGACAGUUUGGGCGGUGGGGGCUGGAGUCGCGGCUAAUUAGCUGGUGGGUUGGAGAGUGGCUUACCAAGCCUUUGAAGGGUAGCCGGCCUGAGAGGGUGACCAGACACAUUGCGCCUGAGAUACGGACCAGACUCGUAUGGGAGGCAGCAGUGGGAAAUAUUGCACAAUGGGGGGGAGCAUGACGAAGAAACGCUGCGUGCGGGAUGCAGGCUUUCGGGUUGUAAACCGCUGUAGCUUGUGACGAAGCGUGAGUGACGGUAAUGGGUAAAGAAGCACCGGCUAACUACGUG